This 253-nucleotide ribosomal RNA is filed under the name uncultured bacterium. RNAcentral's name for it is "partial 16S ribosomal RNA". It matches the Rfam family "Bacterial small subunit ribosomal RNA", at positions 524 to 776 of the family's 1533-position model. The record is from RNAcentral.
UACGGAGGGGGUUAGCGUUGUUCGGAAUGACUGGGCGUAAAGCGCGCGUAGGCGGAUCAGGAAGUUGGGGGUGAAAUCCCGGGGCUCAACCCCGGAAUGGCCUUCAAAACUCCUGGUCUUGAGUUCGAGAGAGGUGAGUGGAAUUCCGAGUGUAGAGGUGAAAUUCGUAGAUAUUCGGAGGAACACCAGUGGCGAAGGCGGCUCACUGGUCCGGUUCUGACGCUGAGGCGCGAAAGCGUGGGGAGCAAACAGG